RNAcentral lists this ribosomal RNA (56 nucleotides) under Paenibacillus sp. 276b. RNAcentral's name for it is "partial 16S rRNA. Bacterial SSU". Lineage: Bacteria; Bacillati; Bacillota; Bacilli; Caryophanales; Paenibacillaceae. The record is from RNAcentral.
CUUUAUUGGAGAGUUUGAUCCUGGCUCAGGACGAACGCUGGCGGCAUGCCUAAUAC